Molecule: ribosomal RNA, 468 nt
Filed under: uncultured bacterium
Lineage: Bacteria
Description: partial 16S ribosomal RNA
Rfam family: Bacterial small subunit ribosomal RNA
Source: RNAcentral
GACGAACGCUGGCGGCGUGCUUAACACAUGCAAGUCGAACGGAAAGGCCCUGCUUUUGUGGGGUGCUCGAGUGGCGAACGGGUGAGUAACACGUGAGUAACCUGCCCUUGACUUUGGGAUAACUUCAGGAAACUGGGGCUAAUACCGGAUAGGAGCUCCUGCUGCAUGGUGGGGGGUGGAAAGUUUCGGCGGUUGGGGAUGGACUCGCGGCUUAUCAGCUUGUUGGUGGGGGAGUGGCUUACCAAGGCUUUGACGGGUAGCCGGCCUGAGAGGGUGACCGGGCACAAUGGGACUGGGGUACGGACCAGGCUCCUACGGGGGGCAAGAGGGGGGAAUAUUGCACAAUGGGCGGAAGCCUGAUGCAGCAACGCCGCGUGCGGGAUGACGGCCUUCGGGUUGUAAACCGCUUUCGCCUGUGACGAAGCGUGAGUGACGGUAAUGGGUAAAGAAGCACCGGCUAACUACGUG